Molecule: small RNA, 703 nt
Filed under: Pongo abelii (Sumatran orangutan)
Lineage: Eukaryota; Metazoa; Chordata; Mammalia; Primates; Hominidae
Description: processed transcript
Source: RNAcentral
AAUGAACCUAUUAAAGUCUUGUGUCGGAGAGUUGAAAUAUUAAAUGAACACAGAGGAGAGAAGUUAAACAGGGUAAAGAUGGUGGAAAAGGAAAAGGAUGCCUUAGAAGGAGAGAAAAACAUAGCUAUCGAAUUUCUUACCUUGGAAAAUGAAAUAUUUAGAAAAAAGAAUCAUGUUUGUCAAUAUUAUAUGUAAGUGCCUUGAUUGAUAUUAUCAAUUUUUAUAUUAGUUUUUAACCGUUAAGUCAAAGCCCUUCUCUUUUCCUAGAGAAACAUGAAGACUGAAGUGAAAAAAAAAUCUCUAAACAUUGUUUUGUGUGACUGGAUGUGUUAGCUCAUGCCUGUAAUUCCAGCACUUUGGGAGGCUAAGGCAGGAGGAUCACUUGAGGCUGGGAGUUCAAGACCAGCCUGGGCAACAUAGCAAGACCCCAUCUCUACAAAAAAAGAAAUUAUGUGGUGAAUUUAUCCAAUGUGAGGACUAUCUGGCUGUGACACCUGUCACCCCGUUGAUCACCAGGGUUGAAUUUAUUAAAUUAGGCAUAUUUGUCAAUUCAUUGAAGUUGACUUUUUAGUAUCCUGCUUUAAGUUGGGAGUUAUGAGUUGCAGAAACGAAUUGCUGAAAUGGAAACUCAAAAGGAAAAAAUUCAUGAAGACACCAAAGAAAUUAAUGAGAAGAGCAAUAUACUAUCAAAUGAAAUGAAAGC